Molecule: ribosomal RNA, 677 nt
Filed under: Serratia odorifera
Lineage: Bacteria; Pseudomonadati; Pseudomonadota; Gammaproteobacteria; Enterobacterales; Yersiniaceae
Description: bacterial SSU rRNA
Rfam family: Bacterial small subunit ribosomal RNA
Source: RNAcentral
UCGGAUUUGGAGGUUGUGCCCUUGAGCGCGUGGCUUGCCUGGAGCUAACGCGUUAAAUCGACCGCCUGGGGAGUACGGCCGCAAGGUUAAAACUCAAAUGAAUUGACGGGGGCCCGCACAAGCGGUGGAGCAUGUGGUUUAAUUCGAUGCAACGCGAAGAACCUUACCUACUCUUGACAUCCAGAGAACUUUCCAGAGAUGGAAGGGUGCCUUCGGGAACUCUGAGACAGGUGCUGCAUGGCUGUCGUCAGCUCGUGUUGUGAAAUGUUGGGUUAAGUCCCGCAACGAGCGCAACCCUUAUCCUUUGUUGCCAGCGGUUCGGCCGGGAACUCAAAGGAGACUGCCAGUGAUAAACUGGAGGAAGGUGGGGAUGACGUCAAGUCAUCAUGGCCCUUACGAGUAGGGCUACACACGUGCUACAAUGGCGUAUACAAAGAGAAGCGAACUUGCGAGAGUAAGCGGACCUCAUAAAGUACGUCGUAGUCCGGAUUGGAGUCUGCAACUCGACUCCAUGAAGUCGGAAUCGCUAGUAAUCGUAGAUCAGAAUGCUACGGUGAAUACGUUCCCGGGCCUUGUACACACCGCCCGUCACACCAUGGGAGUGGGUUGCAAAAGAAGUAGGUAGCUUAACCUUCGGGAGGGCGCUUACCACUUUGUGAUUCAUGACUGGGGUGAAG